AAAAACAUAGUAUAACUUAAUACAUUUCACUUACACUGAAAAUAUACUUAUCUAUAAGUUGUUUUUA
This 67-nucleotide transfer RNA is filed under the name Gemmuloborsonia moosai. RNAcentral's name for it is "tRNA-Val". The record is from RNAcentral. Lineage: Eukaryota; Metazoa; Mollusca; Gastropoda; Neogastropoda; Turridae.